GACGAGGGAUCCUAGCGUUGUUCGGAAUUAUUGGGCGUAAAGCGGGUGUAGGCGGGUCUAUAAGUCAGGUGUGAAAUCCCAGGGCUCAACCCUGGAAGUGCACUUGAUACUGUAGAUCUUGAGUGUGGUAGAGGUUACUGGAAUUCCUGGUGUAGUGGUAAAAUACGUAGAUAUCAGGAGGAAUACCGGAGGCGAAGGCGAGUAACUGGGCCAACACUGACGCUGAGACCCGAAAGCGUGGGGAUCAAACAGG
This 253-nucleotide ribosomal RNA is filed under the name uncultured bacterium. Its description in RNAcentral is "partial 16S ribosomal RNA". It matches the Rfam family "Bacterial small subunit ribosomal RNA", at positions 524 to 776 of the family's 1533-position model. The record is from RNAcentral.